AUCCCAAUGAGGAAGAAUACCCAGAAAGAUAGGAAGUGCCGUAUGACACUCCAAAACGGCAAGCGGGGCUCACUCGCCGUCGCUCACCCGUUUCCCAUCCACCGAUCGCGUCUGUGUCCUUCGUCGGAGCCUCUCGAGAUCGGUCGGGACCGUGGUGGUCGACGGCGGUCAGGUGGGUCCCCUAGCCGUGGGUGAUUUGAAACGGGUCUCUGAGGGUU
This is a small nucleolar RNA of Rhodamnia argentea, 218 nucleotides long. RefSeq annotates it as small nucleolar RNA Z112. The record is from RefSeq and is a predicted model, not a curated record. NCBI's taxonomy places the organism in Eukaryota, Viridiplantae, Streptophyta, Magnoliopsida, Myrtales, Myrtaceae. The transcript has a single exon.